RNAcentral lists this ribosomal RNA (785 nucleotides) under Xylocopa virginica. RNAcentral describes it as "SSU rRNA". It matches the Rfam family "Eukaryotic small subunit ribosomal RNA", at positions 457 to 1201 of the family's 1831-position model. RNAcentral also lists the same sequence under 1 other name. The record is from RNAcentral. Lineage: Eukaryota; Metazoa; Arthropoda; Insecta; Hymenoptera; Apidae.
CGGGGAGGUAGUGACGAAAAAUAACGAUACGGGACUCAUCCGAGGCCCCGUAAUCGGAAUGAGUACACUUUAAAUCCUUUAACGAGGAUCAAUUGGAGGGCAAGUCUGGUGCCAGCAGCCGCGGUAAUUCCAGCUCCAAUAGCGUAUAUUAAAGUUGUUGCGGUUAAAAAGCUCGUAGUUGAAUCUGUGUGUCACAGUGUCGGUUCACCGCUCGCGGUGUCUAACUGGCAUUAUGUGAUACGUCCUACCGGUGGGCUUAGCUCUUCACGGGGCGGUCCAACAGACAUCCCAUCGCGGUGCUCUUCACUGAGUGUCGAGGUGGGCCGGUACGUUUACUUUGAAUAAAUUAGAGUGCUUAAAGCAGGCUAUUUUCGCCUGAAUACUAUGUGCAUGGAAUAAUGGAAUAGGACCUCGGUUCUAUUUUGUUGGUUUCCGGAACCCCGAGGUAAUGAUUAAUAGGGACAGAUGGGGGCAUUCGUAUUGCGACGUUAGAGGUGAAAUUCUUGGAUCGUCGCAAGACGGACUAAAGCGAAAGCAUUUGCCAAAAAUGUUUUCAUUAAUCAAGAACGAAAGUUAGAGGUUCGAAGGCGAUCAGAUACCGCCCUAGUUCUAACCAUAAACGAUGCCAACUAGCGAUCCGCCGAUGUUCCUCCGAUGACUCGGCGGGCAGCUUCCGGGAAACCAAAGUUUUUGGGUUCCGGGGGAAGUAUGGUUGCAAAGCUGAAACUUAAAGGAAUUGACGGAAGGGCACCACCAGGAGUGGAGCCUGCGGCUUAAUUUGACUC